GAAAUCAGCAAUCUGCAUCCCAGAAGAGGGCUCUCAUCAGAACCUGACCAUGCUGACAGCUUGAACUUGGACCCUCCAGCCUCCAGAAGUGGUUGCCUGAAGUUUAAAGGAGUCAAUUCAAAUAAAGCGCUUAACACUCCUGGCACAAGGUUUCUGUGCAGCGCCCUUUCUGCCCAGGGCUGUGGAGAGUCGAUGGCGAGGGGGACACUGUGGUUUGGUGAGGCCGCCGCUAGAGGUCUGAGCAGUUUAAGUGACACACAG
Long non-coding RNA from Hippopotamus amphibius kiboko, 261 nucleotides. RefSeq lists it as uncharacterized. The record is from RefSeq and is a predicted model, not a curated record. Lineage: Eukaryota; Metazoa; Chordata; Mammalia; Artiodactyla; Hippopotamidae. The transcript is spliced from 3 exons.